UACGGGAGGCAGCAGUGGGGAAUAUUGCACAAUGGGCGCAAGCCUGAUGCAGCCAUGCCGCGUGUAUGAAGAAGGCCUUCGGGUUGUAAAGUACUUUCAGCGGGGAGGAAGGCGAUGCGGUUAAUAACCGCGUCGAUUGACGUUACCCGCAGAAGAAGCACCGGCUAACUCCGUGCCAGCAGCCGCGGUAAUACGGAGGGUGCAAGCGUUAAUCGGAAUUACUGGGCGUAAAGCGCACGCAGGCGGUCUGUUAAGUCAGAUGUGAAAUCCCCGGGCUUAACCUGGGAACUGCAUUUUGAAACUGGCAGGCUUGAGUCUUGUAGAGGGGGUGAAUUCCAGGUGUAGCGGUGAAAUGCGUAGAGAUCUGGAGGAAUACCGGUGGCGAAGGCGGCCCCUGGGACAAGACUGACGCUCAGGGUGCGAAAGCUGGGGAGCAAACGAGGAUUAGGAUACC
This 454-nucleotide ribosomal RNA is filed under the name uncultured bacterium. RNAcentral describes it as "bacterial SSU rRNA". It matches the Rfam family "Bacterial small subunit ribosomal RNA", at positions 340 to 786 of the family's 1533-position model. The record is from RNAcentral.